GAGGGUAUAGCUCAAUGGUUGAGCACAUGCUUAGAAUGCACGAGGUCCUGGGUUCAAUCCCCAGUACUUCCU
This 72-nucleotide transfer RNA is filed under the name Camelus bactrianus (Bactrian camel). It matches the Rfam family "tRNA". From Rfam's summary of the family: Transfer RNA (tRNA) molecules are approximately 80 nucleotides in length. Lineage: Eukaryota; Metazoa; Chordata; Mammalia; Artiodactyla; Camelidae. The record is from Rfam by way of RNAcentral. RNAcentral also lists the same sequence under 2 other names.